AGUGAACGCUGGCGGUAGGCCUAACACAUGCAAGUCGAACGGCAGCACAGUAAGAGCUUGCUCUUACGGGUGGCGAGUGGCGGACGGGUGAGGAAUGCAUCGGAAUCUACUUUUUCGUGGGGGAUAACGUAGGGAAACUUACGCUAAUACCGCAUACGACCUACGGGUGAAAGCAGGGGAUCUUCGCACCUUGCGCGAUUGAAUGAGCCGAUGUCGGAUUAGCUAGUUGGCGGGGUAAAGGCCCACCAAGGCGACGAUCCGUAGCUGGUCUGAGAGGAUGAUCAGCCACACUGGAACUGAGACACGGUCCAGACUCCUGCGGGAGGCAGCAGUGGGGAAUAUUAGACAAUGGGCGCGAGCCUGAUCCAGCCAGACCGCGUGGGUGAAGAAGGCGUUCGGGUUGGAAAGACCGUUUGUUGGGAAAGAAAAGCAGCAGGUUAAUACGCCGCUGUUCUGACGGUAACCAAAGAAUAAGCACCGGCUAACUUCGUG
RNAcentral lists this ribosomal RNA (492 nucleotides) under uncultured bacterium. RNAcentral's name for it is "partial 16S ribosomal RNA". It matches the Rfam family "Bacterial small subunit ribosomal RNA", at positions 29 to 507 of the family's 1533-position model. The record is from RNAcentral.